ACGGCAUCACGUAUUGUAGCUUGCUCUCUUGGUGGCGAGUGGCGGACGGGUGAGUAAUAUAUCGGAACGUGCCCAGUAGCGGGGGAUAACUACUCGAAAGAGUGGCUAAUACCGCAUACGCCCUACGGGGGAAAGGGGGGGAUCGCAAGACCUCUCACUAUUGGAGCGGCCGAUAUCGGAUUAGCUAGUUGGUGGGGUAAAGGCUCACCAAGGCAACGAUCCGUAGCUGGUUUGAGAGGACGACCAGCCACACUGGGACUGAGACACGGCCCAGACUCCUACGGGAGGCAGCAGUGGGGAAUUUUGGACAAUGGGGGAAACCCUGAUCCAGCCAUCCCGCGUGUAUGAUGAAGGCCUUCGGGUUGUAAAGUACUUUUGGCAGAGAAGAAAAGGCAUCCCCUAAUACGGGAUGCUGCUGACGGUAUCUGCAGAAUAAGCACCGGCUAACUACGUGCCAGCAGCCGCGGUAAUACGUAGGGUGCAAGCGUUAUCGGAAUUACUGGGCGUAAAGCGUGUGUAGGCGGUUCGGAAGAAAGAUGUGAAAUCCCAGG
This 551-nucleotide ribosomal RNA is filed under the name Alcaligenes faecalis. RNAcentral's name for it is "bacterial SSU rRNA". It matches the Rfam family "Bacterial small subunit ribosomal RNA", at positions 66 to 606 of the family's 1533-position model. The record is from RNAcentral. Lineage: Bacteria; Pseudomonadati; Pseudomonadota; Betaproteobacteria; Burkholderiales; Alcaligenaceae.